AGAUAGGGUAGCAUCAAAGGCACCAUAUCAAUUAAACAACCCCUCAUCACCUGCUCGUCCUAGACCAUAUGAAGAAAGCAAUCCCAUUAUUAUUGACCUAGAAGUAGAAGGCCAAUCAUCGAAACAGCUUGAGCUUAAAUUAUAGUUGAUUUGUUCAUGAUCACCAUACAACUUGGGAUGUUGUAGUGAAUUUGAAAAGAUCCUAGCUGUUACCCUU
RNAcentral lists this unclassified non-coding RNA (217 nucleotides) under Hevea brasiliensis (rubber tree). The record is from RNAcentral. Lineage: Eukaryota; Viridiplantae; Streptophyta; Magnoliopsida; Malpighiales; Euphorbiaceae.